Molecule: ribosomal RNA, 466 nt
Filed under: uncultured bacterium
Lineage: Bacteria
Description: partial 16S ribosomal RNA
Rfam family: Bacterial small subunit ribosomal RNA
Source: RNAcentral
GAUGAACGCUGGCGGCGUGCUUAACACAUGCAAGUCGAACGAUGAAGCCCAGCUUGCUGGGUGGAUUAGUGGCGAACGGUUGAGUAACACGUGAGUAACCUGCCCUUAACUCUGGGAUAAGCCUGGGAAACUGGGUCUAAUACCGGAUAGGAGCGUCCACCGCAUGGUGGGUGUUGGAAAGAUUUAUCGGUUUUGGAUGGACUCGCGGCCUAUCAGCUUGUUGGUGAGGUAAUGGCUCACCAAGGCGACGACGGGUAGCCGGCCUGAGAGGGUGACCGGCCACACUGGGACUGAGACACGGCCCAGACUCCUACGGGAGGCAGCAGUGGGGAAUAUUGCACAAUGGGCGAAAGCCUGAUGCAGCGACGCCGCGUGAGGGAUGACGGCCUUCGGGUUGUAAACCUCUUUCAGUAGGGAAGAAGCGAAAGUGACGGUACCUGCAGAAGAAGCACCGGCUAACUACGUG